This 638-nucleotide ribosomal RNA is filed under the name Klebsiella pneumoniae. RNAcentral describes it as "partial 23S ribosomal RNA". It matches the Rfam family "Bacterial large subunit ribosomal RNA", at positions 866 to 1506 of the family's 2925-position model. Lineage: Bacteria; Pseudomonadati; Pseudomonadota; Gammaproteobacteria; Enterobacterales; Enterobacteriaceae. The record is from RNAcentral.
CUAUUUAGGUAGCGCCUCGUGAACUCAUCUUCGGGGGUAGAGCACUGUUUCGGCUAGGGGGUCAUCCCGACUUACCAACCCGAUGCAAACUACGAAUACCGAAGAAUGUUAUCACGGGAGACACACGGCGGGUGCUAACGUCCGUCGUGAAGAGGGAAACAACCCAGACCGCCAGCUAAGGUCCCAAAGUCAUGGUUAAGUGGGAAACGAUGUGGGAAGGCACAGACAGCCAGGAUGUUGGCUUAGAAGCAGCCAUCAUUUAAAGAAAGCGUAAUAGCUCACUGGUCGAGUCGGCCUGCGCGGAAGAUGUAACGGGGCUAAACCAUGCACCGAAGCUGCGGCAGCGACACUAUGUGUUGUUGGGUAGGGGAGCGUUCUGUAAGCCUGCGAAGGUGUGCUGUGAGGCAUGCUGGAGGUAUCAGAAGUGCGAAUGCUGACAUAAGUAACGAUAAAGCGGGUGAAAAGCCCGCUCGCCGGAAGACCAAGGGUUCCUGUCCAACGUUAAUCGGGGCAGGGUGAGUCGACCCCUAAGGCGAGGCCGAAAGGCGUAGUCGAUGGGAAACAGGUUAAUAUUCCUGUACUUGGUGUUACUGCGAAGGGGGGACGGAGAAGGCUAUGUUAGCCGGGCGACGGUUGUC